Daphnia carinata is the source of this 1027-nucleotide long non-coding RNA. RefSeq lists it as uncharacterized. The transcript is spliced from 3 exons. The record is from RefSeq and is a predicted model, not a curated record. NCBI's taxonomy places the organism in Eukaryota, Metazoa, Arthropoda, Branchiopoda, Diplostraca, Daphniidae.
CGCAUCGAUGCCUGCUUUUGUGUUAUUACGUAACAUGUAGAUGCUGUUUCCGAACGGAAAUGAGCUUUUCCGCCUAUAGCAGAGGAACAACGCCCAUAAUUCUUGGUUUCUUCCGUCAUUCUGACACAGCAACUUCAGUUUUUUCCUACCCAGCAGCCAGCAAAGCAUGGGAUAACGUUAACACUCAUUUUGGACAAACUCGGAGAAAUUCUUUGGGAUGAAAAGAGACUGAAAAACGAAUGACGUCAUUUGUGUAAGUUGAAUUUAGGAAGAAACAUGAAGAAAAUGAUGAAAUCAGGAAAGGUUUAAUUUGGAUUAGCAAAGAAAGAUUAACUGAUACGAUCAUUUGUUUCCUCCUUGUGUUAAUUUUAUAUAUGCUGAUAACAUCGACAAAGUUACAAUUUCCCUUUACUAUUUCAUGCUUUUUGCCUUCUUUCGUUUUAGGUGUUUAUGUAAGCCGCCAUACAUAUACAAUUAGCAAUCAGUUUCCGACAAGGACGGUUUUACUAGUAACACGUCAGUUUUAAAUUGUUUGUAAAUUUUUGGUCUUGCAGGGGAACGCUUCUCAGAAUUUCCGUAAGCUUAUUCCAUAAAUUUCGUGAGCUAUGCACGCUGACCAGCAACCGUUAGAGUACGUGCCGUUUGAAAUCAAUAUGCACCCAACGCAUUCAUCCCGAGAUAUUCGCAUCCGUGUAACAGGCGAUCUCCUUCGUUCGUUAGAUAAAACUCUUCAUCGAAAACUUAAGUAUUAAGGGAACUUAGGUGCAACUUUCGCUUUCUACAAACAAUGGCGAUAAAAAGCGAUGAAGCUGUAACAAAUCGCGAUGAGGUAAGAAGAAAGAGAAAUUGGGGACAGAUUUCCUUUCAGCUGGAACUUGGAGGAGACAACAAAUGUGCUUGCAAAAUGGCAACUAUUCUUGUGGAAAGAAGCGAAAAUUUGCAGCUAAAAAACGUGCGUGAUUAAAAAAGUCAUAGAGCAUUCUAAAUCGUCUGUCAACUUUCUAGCUGUUCCAUGAGUUGGCGAGAA